AAGUCGUAACAAGGUUUCCGUAGGUGAACCUGCGGAAGGAUCAUUAUUGAAUAAACUUGGUGGAUUGUUGCUGGCUCUUUCAUGAGCAAGUGCACGUCUGUCAUUUUUAUCUUUCCAAUAUGUGCACUAUGCAUAGAUCUGAGUAUUUAUUUGACCAAAGUCAUCUUUGGUUUUUUGGAAAUUGCUAUUGCAAUAAUGGCUUUUUCUGUAUUCAGAUUCUAUGAAUUUUAUAUACUCCAAUGUAUGUUUAUGAAUGCUAUUGAAGGGCUUUUAUAGCCUAUUAAAUUUAUACAACUUUCAGCAACGGAUCUCUUGGCUCUC
This 321-nucleotide unclassified non-coding RNA is filed under the name fungal sp. RNAcentral's name for it is "partial internal transcribed spacer region". The stretch from base 1 to 46 matches the Rfam family "Eukaryotic small subunit ribosomal RNA", at positions 1786 to 1831 of the family's 1831-position model. Lineage: Eukaryota; Fungi. The record is from RNAcentral.